AAAUCUCACAAGACACAAACUGUUCAAGGGAAGAAUUAGGAACAAAGACAACUUGGGGACUGGAGAGAACUUGGAGAGCAUUUAGAGAAAAGCGGGGAAAUGAUUGAUGGGUUGGAAAAUAGGAGCAUGGAUGAAUGGUGAGGGGAAUGGAGAUGAUUUAACUGGGACAGAGAGGCUGACAGGUGACCUAGUAAUAGGCUUCCAGUUUGUGGAGGGUUAGGACAUGGAGACUGGCUUCCCACUACCAGGGAAGAAAAGACACUUAAAGUGGGAGGUAGGGGAGCCUGAGGCUACAGGAAGAACUCCUUAUCACAGGGUCUGUUAAUUAUAGCAAGGCAGGAUGGAUCACAAGCUCUUCCACCAAGCAGUCUUCCCAGACGAGAGCAGCACUGGGACGGUGGUAGGGAUUUCUGUAAGUCAUCCAGUGCACAGCUUCCCGAUCGCUUGUCCUCAGAUAGUAGCGAGAUGGCUGCCUCAGCAUCUCCAGGGACACGUAGUAAAAAAUACAAUUUCGUGGGCCCUAUCCAGACCUCCUGGUUUAGAGUUUCUGGGAGGAAAGUCCAGGUGUCUGUAUUCUUAAAACACACACAAACACACCCCACCCCCCCCCACCCCCCCACCCCACACACACACACACACACCCCACCCCACCAGGACAAAUGCAGAACUAACUCAUUGAGAACCAAGAGGCUGGUGAUGUGAGGAAAGAGGAAAUGCCUCCCCCGGAUUCCUCAGGUUGCUGCCUGCAGCAUCCCGCUAGAUCUUCCACUGCCCGGGAGCUGCUCAGGAGCCCAGGCCACACCUGCCCUGGUGGCUCCGUCCAGCAUCCCUGCUGGGUCACUUGGAAUGGACGCUGGGGCAUCAAAGCUGCCCUACAGCUCUGAAGAACCCCUGCGUCUCUCCCUAAUGACAAGGGUGCUGGGAAAAAUGCUCAUUCCAUGUUUUUAUCUGGACUUCACCAGCAGUCACUGAAGUCUUAGGUCACAGUUCUGUGGAGUUUUCCAACGGGUCCCUCAGACACCACCGCUGCCCCACAGGGGCUAGAAUGGAAUGAGCUUGGGAGUCAAGAGAUGUAUCUGCCUUGAGCUUGAGCAGGUCAUUUUACCUCUCCCCGUUGCAGUUUCUUUCUCUGGAAAAGGAGACACCCGGACUGGACAGUCUCUGAGGUCCAUCCAGCUCUACCUUUCUGUCUCUACUGGCUGUUUGAAGAAUUGCAAUGCUCGAAGAGUAUAAAGUAGAUUCAGUGUAAUAUUUCGUAGUGAAGUAUUUUAAAUUCAAUGUUUUUUUUUUCUUUGCAUAACUUAUCCUAGGGAAGUUGGGAAGGAUGAGGAAAAAUAUACGAAUCCACUCGUCUCCAGCUAGCUCAGCUUGUGUGUAGGCCUGCCGUUCACCACACACGACCAUGCGCAAGCUCUCUGGUCCCUUGGUGGCAGCAUACCAAACUACAGAUUCUGUUCUUUGGCCUCAGAACAGUCUUGUGUAUGUUUUAAAUGUGUAGCUUGGAAUCAACGAGUAUUUUUCAUGGGGAGACUAGGAAGGUUGGGGGGCUGGGAUCAUUAUUUCACACACUUAUUUGCUUGUUUCUUGCUGAAUUCCAGAUUGCGGUGGUACUUUAAAAAAAAAAAAAGCUCCAAUAUCAAUUUUAAUUUUGCUUCUAACCUUUUGGACCAGCCACACCCUGACACUUAAAAAAUAAUAAUGAAAUGUUAGUAUAAGAAAAAUUGCUAGCUGACUAUCCCAGCCUUCCUCCUUAGUAACUAAACCUGAUUUGGGGCACAUUGCUACCUAGACUGUAAUAGACUUUCCAGUGUCCUGCAUGGCCAGGUGAGCUCUGGACGAUGAUAGAGAUAAACUAAAUUACUGUAGGCUAUAAUUUAAGGAAGCCUCCUUUAAAAAAGUAAGGAAAGGAUCCUUUUUUCCUUUCUCCCUUCCUCCCUUCAUUUCUCCUUCCCUCCCUUCUGCCUCCCUCCCUCCUUCCCAGGGUGCAGUUGUAAUGGCUGGAGUUCUAGCAGCCACUUUGGACCAUAAGAUGGAAGCCAAGCAUUGAGGAUGGCAAAGCAGAAAGCUGAAAGCCUGGGACAGGAUGACCAUGGGGCUGCCAUCCCAUCCCAGGACUGUCUCCCUUCAGACAUCUUUUAUGUGAGAGAAAAAUAAAGCCACUAUUAUCUUUUGUUUUAUUUAUGCAGCUGCACCAAAUUCUAAUGAAUCCAUAUAAGUUCCAGGUGAGCUGGCUUAGAUGGUGAGAACCAAGGUCAAAGGCAAAGGGUAGCCCUGAUAAGCAAAUGCCACUGCUGAGUUGCUCAGAGCAGUAGACUUUUGCUAUAACAUAGCACAGGAAAGGAGAGAUUUUGGAGACAGAUGGAGUGUGACGUCGAGCUCUGCCUGAGACCGACUGUGAUCUUGAUCAACUGAUUGUCUUGAGUCUGGAUUUCCUAAUUUGUAAAUUAGAGUAAUAAUCUCCACCCCGCAGGCCAUUCAUUGGCAUUAGACAUCGUAUGUAUUAGGUGUCUUGUUUAGUACCUAGCACACAGCUGGUGCUUAAAAAUAGUGGCUCUGUGUGUACAUAGGCACAUGGUAUGUCCCCCUGGCCACAGACACUGUGCUAUGCGCUGGGGACAUACAGAGGCAUACGGUGUAGCCCCAGCUCUGAGGGGGCGUGAAGGCCACUGGGACAUCUCCAGUGUUGUAGCAUGGGGCCCAGAAACCUGUAAACCCGGUGUGGCGGCCCAGUGCAGAGACUUAGGAUACAAAGAGAGAGGAACUUAAGUUAUGUUGUGGAAAUGUGACUUCUUAAUACCGUUCAGAAAAUAGGUACAGAGGCAACAGUCCCAAUCUUCUGCUAGAAAUUUCACUCGGCUAAAAGCAGAACGUUUAAAUACACUCUUGCCAUGGGCUGCUGAGAGGUCCAGCUCUCAAGAAGUGGGAGCAGCUCUAGGGAUGGCCACGCUGGGCUCACUUCCGAGAAAGAGGAAGAGUUAGUUGGGGUGAGGAAAUCAUGGAGGAGAAAGACCAGUCAUUUCGGGGCUCCUCGUCCUGAAAGCAGAGACUGCCGUACAGAACUCAGCCCACGGAGGUCAGCCACAGACACCUCAGGAAGCACAAAGAAGAGAACGAUCUUGUGAUUCCAGGAGAGUCUCUGAAAAGAAGGUAGUUCAAGAAGAGUAGAACAAGCAGGGGCUUGCAGAGAAUGAGAAUACCACAUGGGCCUCUGCGGUGAAUUUAAGGCAAGAAGGAGAAUGAGGAAGCAACAGCCCCUGCCUCUCACCUGCUGCACAGCCGGUUCCUAACAGGUCAUGGACCGGUACCGGUCCGCCAUUGUGGGGACUGGGGACUCCUGCUCUAUGAAACAAAAAAUGAGAAAGUAAACACACAGAUAUCCAGAAGCAUAAAACAAAAUGACAGAAGUAGGGUUGAACGUUUAACUAUGCUAAAAUAUGAAUUUGGGCUGAAAAAUAAUUAGACAAAGUUUUAUAUUUACGUAUAAUGAUGUUCAUUUCAGCUCAUGUAUAACAGCAAGAAAAGAGGAGAGAACCUAACAUCAAAGGGGAAUGUUUAAAUGUGUUAUAACUCAUAUGAUGAGCUAAUAAAACUUAUGUUUUUGAAGCCAACAAGUUGAAAUGCUCAUUUCACAUUAAUAGCAGGAUAUAAAAUAUAUGGACAGCAUAUGAAUUUGAAUAAAGUUUAAAAGGAAAAUAAAUAUGCAUAGUAUCACAUUUUUGUACAGUAUAAAAAUAAAUUCAAUAGUAUCUUAAUAAAAAUUCUGGGCCAAAACUAAUGAGAUAAAUUUAGUAUUAGAAAUGCUAAGUUAUGGGCUCAGCCUCAAAAAAUAGGAAUGAAAGAGGACUAACUUAACUAUUGCAUUUAUGAAAAGGAUCGGGGGGAUUUCACUGCCCCAGGCUUGGUGUUGUGAUUGUAGUCGAAGCUGACCUGGGUUGCCUUGGUGGCAGUCUGCGGUGUCCAGCUCAGGGCCCCUUAGCCAUUCACUCAGCAGACAAAGAAUACUAAUAGUAGGUGAUAACCACUGCUGCAGGGAUGACACAUUAGCAUUAGGUGACAAAUAAACCAUCUCCAGUCAACAUUAUCCCUGCUGCAUCCAACCAGCACAGCCGGGAAAGCAAACAAUGAGGCAGAAGCGCGUUUCCUCACUCUGAAAGGCAUGCAUGCACUGGAAGUUGGGUUCAUUGGAGAGCAGGGUGGCUUCACAUCGGGAUCUGUGGCAGGACAGCCUCAGAGCUUGGCAGUGUUGUCUGGGAACUGGGCAAUAUCAAUAAUAAGGUGCUUCCAGUGACAGUCUACGUCUUCAUCUUUACAAAAGCUUUCAGAGAUAAGAUUAUUGCUCCAGUUUUCAGAUGGGGAACAAAAUGAGACAGGAUUAGUGAUUCUUUCAAGAGUCCUCAUAAACUACAACUGGAUGAUGCCCCCUGAGUACCUGUGCUUGAGGAGGGGGGCAAAUAGCAC
RNAcentral lists this long non-coding RNA (4458 nucleotides) under Homo sapiens (human). Its description in RNAcentral is "HSALNT0366140". The record is from RNAcentral. Lineage: Eukaryota; Metazoa; Chordata; Mammalia; Primates; Hominidae.